UGCGUAGGCGGCCUCUUAAGUUUGGUGUGAAAUCUCCCGGCUCAACCGGGAGGGUGCGCCGGAUACUGAGGGGCUAGAGUGCGGGAGAGGAAAGUGGAAUUCCUGGUGUAGCGGUGAAAUGCGUAGAUAUCAGGAGGAACACCUGCGGUGUAAACGGCUUUCUGGACCGUAACUGACGCUGAGGCACGAAAGCGUGGGUAGCAAACAG
RNAcentral lists this ribosomal RNA (208 nucleotides) under uncultured Acidobacteriota bacterium. RNAcentral describes it as "uncultured Acidobacteria bacterium partial 16S ribosomal RNA". It matches the Rfam family "Bacterial small subunit ribosomal RNA", at positions 568 to 775 of the family's 1533-position model. The record is from RNAcentral. Lineage: Bacteria; Pseudomonadati; Acidobacteriota.